AUUGAACGCUGGCGGAAUGCUUUACACAUGCAAGUCGAACGGUAGAGGGGGCAACCCCUCGAGAGUGGCGAACGGGUGAGUAAUAUAUCGGAACGUGCCCAGUCGUGGGGGACAACGUAGCGAAAGUUACGCUAAUACCGCAUACGAUCUAAGGAUGAAAGCGGGGGAUCGCAAGACCUCGCGCGAUUGGAGCGGCCGAUAUCAGAUUAGGUAGUUGGUGGGGUAAAGGCUCACCAAGCCAACGAUCUGUAGCUGGUCUGAGAGGACGACCAGCCACACUGGAACUGAGACACGGUCCAGACUCCUACGGGAGGCAGCAGUGGGGAAUUUUGGACAAUGGACGCAAGUCUGAUCCAGCCAUUCCGCGUGCAGGAUGAAGGCCCUCGGGCUGUAAACUGCUUUUGUACGGAACGAAAAGGUCUCUCUUAAUACGGGGGGCUCAUGACGGUACCGUAAGAAUAAGCACCGGCUAACUACGUGCCAGCAGCCGCGGUAA
RNAcentral lists this ribosomal RNA (496 nucleotides) under uncultured bacterium. RNAcentral describes it as "partial 16S ribosomal RNA". It matches the Rfam family "Bacterial small subunit ribosomal RNA", at positions 30 to 523 of the family's 1533-position model. The record is from RNAcentral.